Mauremys mutica (yellowpond turtle) is the source of this 2814-nucleotide long non-coding RNA. RefSeq lists it as uncharacterized. NCBI's taxonomy places the organism in Eukaryota, Metazoa, Chordata, Testudines, Geoemydidae. The transcript has 10 exons. The record is from RefSeq and is a predicted model, not a curated record.
UCUACCCUGGUCUGGACUGUGUGCCUUGUGCUUCCUGCAUCUGCUGCUUGAUUUCCUGGCAUCCUGAUCUGGCUUGGCUCCUGGCAUCUGACUUGUGGUUCCUGGCCUCCAGUUUGUUUCCUGCCUCUGACCCCCUGGUAUCCUGACCCAGCUGACUCUUAACUCCUGUCUCAUGACUGCAGACUCUAGCUCUGACUGUUGCGUCUUGCUGCCCACAAUCCAGCUAUGACAUUUAGAAGCAAUCUUAAAGGCAAAUUGUAAAAGAAAAAAAAAGGAUGCACAGAUUUUCUUUUUUUUUUUUUCCUAACAUGGGCAAAGGGGAUAGAAAGUUUUAUUUUCUUCUGGUUGUUUUCAAUGUUAGAAAUUUGUGGUCUUGUCUACCCUGUUUUUGCCUGAGAACUUUCAGGAAGACUGGAGAAUUAGUCUUAUGACAUCAGAAGGGAGACUGAAACUUGAGCCAUUGAGAGGAGACAAGGGAUUUUAAGUCUGUUUUAGACUUUGUUGGGGUCUGAGUUAAAUAGGAGCUAACAAACAAACAGUUAGGAGAAAAACUCUUUGUUAAAGAUUCAAACUUCCCUAUCCUUUCACUUGAAAACUGAGAAAACUUCCUAAUAAAGUAAAAGCUUCACAAGUUGCAACAGCUUGUACAUAUUUCCCUCAACAACAUGGAAGCCUGUUACUUUUACUAAGGGACUAUUUAUCUGUCUCCAUAUUGGACAUUGUAUUACCGGAGUCCGAGUCUUAUCAGGACACCUGAAUCCUCCAAGAGUCUGUGUUGGAACUGUAAAUUAUUAUUUACUAGUAAGUUACUGGCAUGACAUGCUAUACCAAGUGUUCCCAAAGUGUAAAGAAGAGACAGAAUCCUCAACAUCUGCAGACCCAGGUACAACUUGUUGAAGAUAGAACUUGAAUGUGUCUGGGAUUCCAUGUUCAAUUAUUACAUGGACACACACACACACACAGCUGCAGAAGUUAAUCACCACUCUACAUAUAAAAAAGCAGCUCCUCUUUCACAUGAACAGGGUGACCAGGACAAAGGCAGUCUAGCCUAAUAGUCAGAGCAGGCAUCAGUAGUUAGAAACUGGAGUCAAGGGUAAGCCAAUGGGCAGGAACUGGAUACCAGAGCCAAAGGUCAAGCUGGAGUCAGAACGGAAGCCAGAGCCACAGGUCAACCUAGCAGUCAGGAACUGGAGUAAGGAGGGGAGGAGCUGCAGCAAAAAACAAGCUAUGAACUGAAGCUGAGAGAGACCAGACAUGUGGAAAAUUAAUGGAAAAACUUCUUUAGGAAGAGAAAUUCAUUUGUGGGACAAACUCUAGGAAAGUUUGCAGCAGAAGCUGCAGUUAAGAUGGGUAUAGCUGCAGUCAGCCUCCUUUGGACAAAGUCUGAAUAUCCCUUUGUUUCCAAAUAUAAAUGCCAUAGACAUAUGGACACAGAAUUACAGUGAAAGCUUUGGAUGUUUGGCUCCAAUGGUACCCCUCAACAACACUACAUUGCAACACAGAGCUAUUUUGCUUUGGCUGCCUAGACUCCAGACCAGUUACCCACCACAGACCUAGCCAUUAUCAUCUGCCUUCAGAUGCCGCGCUGCUGUCAUCAUGGAAACCUGUCUUGGUGUCAUCAGGGAAGAACAGACCAACGAGGGAUCGCCCCAGUGUUCCUCUCUCGAGGCUCUAGACGAGCUAAGAGAUAGAGGUCCUGAGCAACUCACGGAAGGGGACUUCUAUCUGCAUAUCUCCAAGUGCCUGACAGAUUAACAAAUUAAGCCUCACAACAUAACAACCCUGUUAGAAAGGACUGGAUUCUAUAAUCACCCUGCCCACGAAGCCGCAAUUGAUGUAAAAACAAAACUGGAUCCUUUACUAAUAUACAAGAUUAUCUAUUUAUCUAAUGUCUCAAAGGGAUCACUGCAUUAAUGAUACAGAGGAUUCAGAAAGGGAAGCUGUGCUACGCAGAUUAGGCUAAAAGGAUCCCCCAAAAGAGGCUAGUACAAGUGGGUGGCCUGGAGACCACACCAGCACUCCCCAAACUAUUGUGGAUACCUGGCGGACCACAAGACAGAAACCCCCCAGUAAACAGCAAGGAGGAGGAGGGGAGGUGGCAGACAUGGGGACUCCAGCCAUGCCAUGAGCCAGGACCUGUUUGAUAGUCCUCAACAGUCCAGCCAGCCAAACAUGGAUGAGACCGAUGAAGGGGAUGCGCCCUUUGCAGCUUCUGCCUUUGCAGUCUUGAAGGAUGCCUCCUCAACAUCUGUAGAAUGCAAGACCCUGGUGAGGCAAAGAAAGAAGAUGACAAAGGAGGGCAUGCUCUGCGAGAUCCUGCAAGCCAGAGCUGCAUCAGACCUUGAAUGAAGGAUCUGGAGAACCAAUAUGACCAACAGCAUGGAGAAAGGGGUCCCAGUAGGAAAAGGACAGGUAGAUAUACCAGGACAUAAUGGGCUUCUCAGGCAGCAAGCCCAAAUGCUGCAGACCCUGGUUGACCUAUUGGUUUAAAAAUCAGACUUCCCACCCUUUACUGUCCUUGGAAAACUCCAUGGUAGCAGCUUAUUUCCCCCCCCCACCACCACCACAUACCAGGUGACAUCACAGUGCACAUAAAUAUCCCUAUCACUCCACACCAGGGGACAGUAAGGAAAACCACCACUUCAUAAACACUGACCUGUGAGAACCAUGGCAGGUGUACAUGUAGCUACAAGGGACUACAUCUGUGGACUGAUAUGGACAGAAAUGUUUGCUGCCUUUCCAAUUUUUAAGUUCUGUAACUCUGUUAAAAAUUUGUGUUGCAUUGCCUUUUGCAUGUUGUUCUUUUGCCCUGGU